This is a long non-coding RNA of Melospiza melodia melodia, 331 nucleotides long. RefSeq lists it as uncharacterized. The record is from RefSeq and is a predicted model, not a curated record. Lineage: Eukaryota; Metazoa; Chordata; Aves; Passeriformes; Passerellidae. The transcript is spliced from 3 exons.
GGUAUCCUAUAGCAAGUAAGAACAUAACAUUACAACUGUUCACACGUGGGAGAUGGAGGAACUGCAUUAAGAGCCCAUCAGAUAGGAAAACUUGGUGUGAGAACCAUAUGGAAGGGAAGAAGUAUCCCAGGCCCAAGAUACAAGUUUAUGGAUUGCAAGACAGGAGGCCAAACACCAAAACAGCAUCUAACAAAAGUGCUUUUUCUGUAGGAAGAGGCAAUACAACAUUUUGCCUCAGAAGAAUCUUAUUGGCCCUUCCUGGAUACUGGGUUGUAGGAAGAACUGAUGAAUGCUCCCUGCUGUGAGAGGACGACUCUCGCAUCAAAGAGAG